GGUCCAAUAGUCUAGUUGGUUAGGACGUGGGUUUCUGAUCUCUCUCCCGUUAGUAAAAUACCUAGCGUGGAUAUCUGAACCUACCCGAAGCCUCAGUUCGAAUCUGGGUUGGACCU
Cephalotrichum gorgonifer is the source of this 116-nucleotide non-coding RNA. The record is from the annotation of a GenBank genome assembly. NCBI's taxonomy places the organism in Eukaryota, Fungi, Ascomycota, Sordariomycetes, Microascales, Microascaceae.